Molecule: unclassified non-coding RNA, 315 nt
Filed under: Tomentella sp.
Lineage: Eukaryota; Fungi; Basidiomycota; Agaricomycetes; Thelephorales; Thelephoraceae
Also listed under: 2 other names
Description: partial contains 5.8S ribosomal RNA, internal transcribed spacer 2, and large subunit ribosomal RNA
Source: RNAcentral
AACGCACCUUGCGCCCUUUGGCUAUUCCGAAGGGCAUGCCUGUUUGAGUAUCAUGAACACCUCAACUCCUCAUGGCUUGCUGUGAUGAGCUUGGACUUUGGGGGUCUUGUUGGCCUGUGAGCCAGCUCCUCUUAAAGGAAUUAGCUUGCCAGUGUUUGGUGGCAUCCCAGGUGUGAUAACUAUCUACGCUUGCGGUUUCCCACCAGGUAACCUUCAGCAAUGGAGGUUCACUGGAGCUUAUAAAUGUCUUUCCUUUGUGAGGACACAUUUUGACCAUUUGAUCUCAAAUCAGGUAGGACUACCCGCUGAACUUAA